GCCCCUGUAGCUCAGGCGGAUAGAGCAUCGGUUUCCUAAACCGAGUGCCCGGGUUCGAGUCCCGGCGGGGGCA
Molecule: transfer RNA, 73 nt
Filed under: SAR202 cluster bacterium
Lineage: Bacteria; Bacillati; Chloroflexota; Dehalococcoidia
Description: tRNA-Arg
Rfam family: tRNA
About the family: Transfer RNA (tRNA) molecules are approximately 80 nucleotides in length. Their secondary structure includes four short double-helical elements and three loops (D, anti-codon, and T loops). Further hydrogen bonds mediate the characteristic L-shaped molecular structure. tRNAs have two regions of fundamental functional importance: the anti-codon, which is responsible for specific mRNA codon recognition, and the 3' end, to which the tRNAs corresponding amino acid is attached (by aminoacyl-tRNA synthetases). tRNAs cope with the degeneracy of the genetic code in two manners: having more than one tRNA (with a specific anti-codon) for a particular amino acid; and 'wobble' base-pairing, i.e. permitting non-standard base-pairing at the 3rd anti-codon position.
Source: RNAcentral